ACCUGGCUGGCUCAGUCAGUGGAGCAUGCGACUCUUGAUCUCGGGGUUGUGAGUUCGAGCCCUACGUUGGGUG
This 73-nucleotide transfer RNA is filed under the name Canis lupus familiaris (dog). It matches the Rfam family "tRNA". Rfam says of the family: Transfer RNA (tRNA) molecules are approximately 80 nucleotides in length. Their secondary structure includes four short double-helical elements and three loops (D, anti-codon, and T loops). Further hydrogen bonds mediate the characteristic L-shaped molecular structure. tRNAs have two regions of fundamental functional importance: the anti-codon, which is responsible for specific mRNA codon recognition, and the 3' end, to which the tRNAs corresponding amino acid is attached (by aminoacyl-tRNA synthetases). tRNAs cope with the degeneracy of the genetic code in two manners: having more than one tRNA (with a specific anti-codon) for a particular amino acid; and 'wobble' base-pairing, i.e. permitting non-standard base-pairing at the 3rd anti-codon position. Lineage: Eukaryota; Metazoa; Chordata; Mammalia; Carnivora; Canidae. RNAcentral also lists the same sequence under 1 other name. The record is from Rfam by way of RNAcentral.